UACGAAGGGGGCUAGCGUUGCUCGGAAUCACUGGGCGUAAAGGGCGCGUAGGCGGAUCUUUAAGUCAGGGGUGAAAGCCUGAGGCUCAACCUCAGAAUUGCCUUUGAUACUGAAGAUCUUGAGACCGGAAGAGGUAAGUGGAACUGCGAGUGUAGAGGUGAAAUUCGUAGAUAUUCGCAAGAACACCAGUGGCGAAGGCGGCUAUCUGGACAGAGUCUGACGCUGAGGCGCGAAAGCUAGGGGAGCAAACAGG
RNAcentral lists this ribosomal RNA (253 nucleotides) under uncultured bacterium. Its description in RNAcentral is "partial 16S ribosomal RNA". It matches the Rfam family "Bacterial small subunit ribosomal RNA", at positions 524 to 776 of the family's 1533-position model. The record is from RNAcentral.